CCUACGGGAGACAGCAGUGGGGAAUAUUGGGCAAUGGGCGCAAGCCUGACCCAGCAACGCCGCGUGAAGGAAGAAGGCUUUCGGGUUGUAACCUUCUUUUGUCAGGGACGAGUAGAAGACGGUACCUGACGAAUAAGCCACGGCUAACUACGUGCCAGCAGCCGCGGUACUACGUAGGUGGCAAGCGUUGUCCGGAUUUACUGGGUGUAAAGGGCGGGUAGCCGGGUUGACAAGUCAGAUGUGAAAUCCUGCGGCUUAACCGCAGAACUGCAUUUGAAACUGUUGAUCUUGAGUACUGGUGAGGCAGACGGAAGUCCUAGUGUAGCGGUGAAAUGCGUAGAUAGUAGGAGGAACACCAGUGGCGAAGGCGGUCUGCUGGACAGCAACUGACGGUGAGGCGCGAAAGCGUGGGGAGCAAACAGGAUUAGAUACCCCGGUAGUC
Molecule: ribosomal RNA, 442 nt
Filed under: uncultured bacterium
Lineage: Bacteria
Description: partial 16S ribosomal RNA
Rfam family: Bacterial small subunit ribosomal RNA
Source: RNAcentral